AUUGAACGCUGGCGGCAGGCCUAACACAUGCAAGUCGAACGGUAACAGGAAGCAGCUUGCUGCUUCGCUGACGAGUGGCGGACGGGUGAGUAAUGUCUGGGAAGCUGCCUGAUGGAGGGGGAUAACUACUGGAAACGGUAGCUAAUACCGCAUAAUGUCGCAAGACCAAAGAGGGGGACCUUCGGGCCUCUUGCCAUCGGAUGUGCCCAGAUGGGAUUAGCUUGUUGGUGGGGUAACGGCUCACCAAGGCGACGAUCCCUAGCUGGUCUGAGAGGAUGACCAGCCACACUGGGACUGAGACACGGUCCAGACUCCUACGGGAGGCAGCAGUGGGGAAUAUUGCACAAUGGGCGCAAGCCUGAUGCAGCCAUGCCGCGUGUAUGAAGAAGGCCUUCGGGUUGUAAAGUACUUUCGGCGGGGAGGAAGGGAGUAAAGUUAAUACCUUUGCUCAUUGACGUUACCCGCAGAAGAAGCACCGGCUAACUCCGUG
Molecule: ribosomal RNA, 490 nt
Filed under: uncultured bacterium
Lineage: Bacteria
Description: partial 16S ribosomal RNA
Rfam family: Bacterial small subunit ribosomal RNA
Source: RNAcentral